Molecule: ribosomal RNA, 468 nt
Filed under: uncultured bacterium
Lineage: Bacteria
Description: partial 16S ribosomal RNA
Rfam family: Bacterial small subunit ribosomal RNA
Source: RNAcentral
GACGAACGCUGGCGGCGUGCUUAACACAUGCAAGUCGAACGGAAAGGCCCUGCUUUUGUGGGGUGCUCGAGUGGCGAACGGGUGAGUAACACGUGAGUAACCUGCCCUUGACUUUGGGAUAACUUCAGGAAACUGGGGUUAAUACCGGAUAGGAGCUCCUGCUGCAUGGUGGGGGUUGGAAAGUUUCGGCGGUUGGGGAUGGACUCGCGGCUUAUCAGCUUGUUGGUGGGGUAGUGGCUUACCAAGGCUUUGACGGGUAGCCGGCCUGAGGGGGUGGCCGGCCACAUUGGAACUGGGAUACGGCCCAGACUCCUACGGGAGGCAGCAGUGGGGAAUAUUGCACAAUGGGCGGAAGCCUGAUGCAGCAACGCCGCGUGCGGGAUGACGGCCUUCGGGUUGUAAACCGCUUUCGCCUGUGACGAAGCGUGAGUGACGGUAAUGGGUAAAGAAGCACCGGCUAACUACGUG